Molecule: ribosomal RNA, 495 nt
Filed under: uncultured bacterium
Lineage: Bacteria
Description: partial 16S ribosomal RNA
Rfam family: Bacterial small subunit ribosomal RNA
Source: RNAcentral
GACGAACGCUGGCGGCGUGCCUAAUACAUGCAAGUAGAACGCUGAAGGAGGAGCUUGCUUCUCCGGAUGAGUUGCGAACGGGUGAGUAACGCGUAGGUAACCUGCCUGGUAGCGGGGGAUAACUAUUGGAAACGAUAGCUAAUACCGCAUAACAGUAGAUAUUGCAUGAUAUCUGCUUGAAAGGUGCAAUUGCAUCACUACCAGAUGGACCUGCGUUGUAUUAGCUAGUUGGUGAGGUAACGGCUCACCAAGGCGACGAUACAUAGCCGACCUGAGAGGGUGAUCGGCCACACUGGGACUGAGACACGGCCCAGACUCCUACGGGAGGCAGCAGUAGGGAAUCUUCGGCAAUGGACGGAAGUCUGACCGAGCAACGCCGCGUGAGUGAAGAAGGUUUUCGGAUCGUAAAGCUCUGUUGUAAAAGAAGAACGAGUGUGAGAGUGGAAAGUUCACACUGUGACGGUAUCUUACCAGAAAGGGACGGCUAACUACGUG